UACAGAGGCCUCGAGCGUUAGGCGGAAUCACUGGGCUUAAAGCGUGUGUAGGCGGACUUCUAAGUACCUUGUGAAAUCCCACGGCUCACCCGUGGAACUGCUUGGUAUACUGGUUGUCUUGAGCCACUUAGGGGCUACCGGAACAAAUGGUGGAGCGGUGAAAUGCGUAGAUAUCAUUUGGAACGCCAAUGGUGAAAACAGGUAGCUGGGAGUGUGCUGACGCUGAGACACGAAAGCCAGGGGAGCGAACGGG
This 253-nucleotide ribosomal RNA is filed under the name uncultured bacterium. Its description in RNAcentral is "partial 16S ribosomal RNA". It matches the Rfam family "Bacterial small subunit ribosomal RNA", at positions 524 to 776 of the family's 1533-position model. The record is from RNAcentral.